Molecule: ribosomal RNA, 406 nt
Filed under: uncultured bacterium
Lineage: Bacteria
Description: partial 16S ribosomal RNA
Rfam family: Bacterial small subunit ribosomal RNA
Source: RNAcentral
AUUGAACGCUGGCGGCAGGCCUAACACAUGCAAGUCGAACGAGUGGCGGACGGGAGAGUAAUGUUUGGGAAUCCCGCUUAUGGAGGGGGAAAUCUUCGGGAAACUGGAGAUAACACCGCGUUCCAUAGUAUGCGCCUAAGUGGGAAUAGGUAGUUGGUGAGGUAAAGGCGCACGUACCCGACGACCUCUAGCUGGUCUGAGAGGAUGACCAGCCACACUGGGACUGAGACACGGCCCAGACUCCUACGGGAGGCAGCAGUGGGGAAUAUUGCACAAUGGGAGCAAGCCUGAUGCAGCCAUGCCGCGUGAAUGAAGAAGGCCGUCGGGUUGUAAAGUACUUUCGGUAGGGAGGCGUUAACUACAGAAGAAGCACCGGCUAACUCCGUGCCAGCAGCCGCGGUAAUUC